UUCCAGACUCCUACGGGAGGCAGCAGUGGGGAAUAUUGCACAAUGGGGGAAACCCUGAUGCAGCGACGCCGCGUGAGUGAAGAAGUAUUUCGGUAUGUAAAGCUCUAUCAGCAGGGAAGAAAAUGACGGUACCUGAUUAAGAAGCCCCGGCUAACUACGUGCCAGCAGCCGCGGUAAUACGUAGGGGGCAAGCGUUAUCCGGAUUUACUGGGUGUAAAGGGAGCGUAGACGGCAGCGCAAGUCUGAAGUGAAAUCCCAUGGCUUAACCAUGGAACUGCUUUGGAAACUGUGCAGCUGGAGUGCAGGAGAGGUAAGCGGAAUUCCUAGUGUAGCGGUGAAAUGCGUAGAUAUUAGGAGGAACACCAGUGGCGAAGGCGGCCUGCUGGACGACAACUGACGGUGAGGCGCGAAAGCGUGGGGAGCAAACAGGAUUAGAUACCCUAGUAC
RNAcentral lists this ribosomal RNA (447 nucleotides) under uncultured bacterium. RNAcentral describes it as "bacterial SSU rRNA". It matches the Rfam family "Bacterial small subunit ribosomal RNA", at positions 329 to 793 of the family's 1533-position model. The record is from RNAcentral.